AGCGAUGUGGUUAAUUCGAUGAUACGCGAGGAACCUUACCUGGGCUCGAACGUAAGAUGACUGUAGGUGAAAGCUUACAUCUCUUCGGAGCAUUUUACGAGGUGCUGCAUGGUUGUCGUCAGCUCGUGUCGUGAGAUGUGGGUUAAGUCCCGCAACGAGCGCAGCCCUCGACUUUAGUUACCAUCAUUAAGUUGGGUACUUUAAAGUAACCGCCGGUGAUAAGCCGGAGGAAGUGGGGAUGACGUCAAGUCCUCAUGGCCCUUACGCGCUGGGCUACACACGUGCUACAAUGGCAAGUACAGUGGGCAGCAAUCCCGCGAGGGUGAGCUAAUCUCCAAAACUUGUCUCAGUUCGGAUUGUUCUCUGCAACUCGAGAGCAUGAAGGCGGAAUCGCUAGUAAUCGCGGAUCAGCAUGCCGCGGUGAAUACGUUCCCAGGCCUU
Molecule: ribosomal RNA, 441 nt
Filed under: uncultured Sphingomonas sp.
Lineage: Bacteria; Pseudomonadati; Pseudomonadota; Alphaproteobacteria; Sphingomonadales; Sphingomonadaceae
Description: bacterial SSU rRNA
Rfam family: Bacterial small subunit ribosomal RNA
Source: RNAcentral